AAGGCAGAGUCAAGAAUGUCUGCCCUGUUAGUUGCUGCAACGACAAUGAUGCCAGUAUUACCCUCAAAACCAUCCAUUUCUGUCAGAAGCUGGUUAAGGGUCUGCUCUCUUUCAUCAUUUCCUCCGCCAAUUCCAGUUCCUUCAUAUCAUAAUUCGAUCGAAUAAUAAAUUAACACAAUGCAAGGAGCAUUCUCUUUGGCCUUCUUGAAGAGAUCCCGGACUCGAGAGGCACCAACACCAACACCAACAAACAUCUCAACAAACUCCGAACCUGAAAUGGAGAAAAACGGAACACCCGCUUCACCAGCAAUUGCCUUGGCCAGAAGAGUCUUCCCAGUACCUGGAGGUCCAACAAGAAGAACACCUUUCGGAGUGCGAGCCCCUACUGCAGUGAAUCUCUCAGGCUUCUUGAGAAACUCCACUACCUCCAUGAAAUCCUGCUUUGCUUCAUCCACUCCAGCAACAUCAUCAAAUGUCACCCCAGUGUUUGGUUCCAUUUGGAACUUUGCCUUAGAUUGCCGAAAGCUACAAUAAUUUCCUGUUCACUUUUUUUUUUAGGGUUUUUAAAAUUCUAAACCACCAAGCAUGUCGGGCGUUGUGUCACUAAUAAAUGGUGUUGUCCAUUGAGAUGCAUGAUACAGGCAAGUGGCCGAUGAUGUCUAUGUUUAUUCUUGUGAAGUGAUUCUCUAAUUAUAUAUUUGAAAAUAUUUAAUUAGUCAACCUAUAUUAGAGUUUUGUAUACAUUCUACUAAACCUCUCUUAAAACUCUAAUUAAGAAGAAGCUAGAGUUUUGACCAAAUUGAAUUUUCUUGUGCCUUUUAAAUCGUGCAAGUGAGGAGAGGUUUUGAUUUUUGAAAAUAUUAUUUUUGAUCUUUCAUUUUUGAAAAAAUUUGAAUUAUAGGUUUGGGUAUACAAAUAAAUACAAAUAAAAAUAUAUUUCAACAUAUAAAACCAUGCCAACAUUACUUAUAGGGAUGGGAUUAAAAAAAAACAAUUUCAGUGACCAAAGUGUAAAGGGAAGAAAUUUCAAGGAUCAAGAAAAAAAUUGACUAUAAAUAGUGAUGUGAAGAGAAAAAUAUGAGAGGACAAAUAGUUGAUCAACAGUAAAAACAUCAAAUGUAUUAGUUUCUCUUGUAAUGUAAUUAUAGGUUUGGGUCAAUUAUAUUUCCAUCUUGUGUUUUUUAUUAGGUUGAUUAACCUUUAUAUUAUUUGAAUUCAUUCAAUUAACCCAUGUGUUUUUAUGAAUUUAUUUAAUUAACCCAAUAAGGCAAUAAUUAAUCUAUAUCAAGUCUUAAUGUUAACCUUGUGUGCUAAUUAUAUAGUAUUUAAAUAUUUCUCACUACUGAGAUAAAAAAAAAAAUGUUUAUGUAUAAAUAAGUUGUUUUAGAAAAAAAUAUUCAAAAUGUUUUUUUAAUAAAAACUCCAUGAUUAAACAAUUACCUUUUCUUUUCAACUUGAGUAGUUUUGUUUCAAUAUUUAUUUCCUUGGAUUUUCAUUAAAAAUAUUUAUUACUUUUAAGUUUUUUUAGCUUUUAAGAUGUAUAUGUCACAACUGCAUCCCCACGGGAUGGAGAAUAUUUUUUUUCUUUAACACAAAAAAGUAGGGCAUUGUUAAUAUUUAUUUUACCAACAAGAAAAAAACUGAAAAGUUUAUAUAUUUAUUUAAUAAAAUAAAUUAAAAAUUAUAUAUUUAAUAAAUAAUAAUAAAAAUGUUGAUUUCAAUCAAUGAUUGAGUUGGGAAAAAAAUAUUGAAUAUUUGUUUUAGUUUGAAAUUGAGUUUCUAAAAUUUUAAUUGAUUUGAGUUAAUAAUUUUCUUUUUCAAAUCGAGCAUUAACUCAACGUUAAAACUUAUUUUUAACAUCAUGAGAGCAUUAUAUAAACUCAACCAAAAUAAAACAUCAAAUCCAAUUACAAAUCAUCUUAACGUGAAAUGAUUAAAUUGAGAAAAAAAAAGUUAAAUUAAAAAAAAAGAAAAAAGAAAAAAAAAACAUUAUGGGUAUUGCAACUUACACUAGAUUAUGUCUUUCUUAUGUUGCAUUUCAAUCUCUCUUUUUUUUUUUUUUUGUUAAUAUUUCUUCCAUCUUGCAUUGCAUCUCAUAAGCAUUAAUUUUACAAAAUCCAAUUACAAUUGUUAAAUAGAAAAAAAAAAGAUCUAAUAAAAAAAGAUGUGAAUGAAUAAAAAUUGAAGGCGGUUAACUGUUUAUAUAUUUCUUUAUUUUUCAUUGUUUUAUUUGUUCAUGAUUUCAAAUAUUAUUUCAUGGCUUACCGAGCAAAAAUGAUCUAAUAAAAAAAAAAACGAGUGGAAAAAAUAAAUUUGAUAUGGUUCACUAUUAUGAUGAUAAUGUUUUCACUCCAAAUGUUUCAAGGUUUAUAUAUAUACGAGAUGACAUGCCCGCGCGCUGCCGCGAGCUUAUAAAAUAAAUGUACUUGAUAGUGUUAUAAUUAUGAACCAGCGCUAGAUAAGUAAUAGAAAUUAAAGGUAUGAUGAAACAAAUAUUUCAUGACAGAAAAAAAAAGUUGUGUUGGUGAACAAAAACUUAGAGACUGAACAAAAUGAUUUGUAGCAAUCUAUAGUGUUUUAUGAGGAAAGAUACAGUGCUUUCACCACAUGAUUUAGCUUUUCAGUUAAUAAAAAGAAAAAAAAAUUACAAAGCUAAAUUCUCUACCAACUUAAUAUAAAAAAAAACCAACAAAGAUAAUUUUGGAAGGAAAAAAACCCAUGAGAAAAAACGUUGCAGCAAUUGACAAUGUUUUGUGAGGAAAACUAUAGUGCUUUUCCCAAUAAAAUAAAAUAAAAAACCAUUUAGAGAAAUAUUGUAGCAAUCCACAGUGUUUUGUGAGAAAACUACAACGCUUUUCUCAUAUGAUUUAACUUUAUUGUAAUUAUAAUUCUUAACCAACUCAAUAUUAAAAAAAAAAUUGACAAAGAUAAUCAUGGAAAAAAUCACAUGGGAAAACACUGCAACAAUUCACAGUGUUUUAAAGAAAAAAAAUUACAAAGCUAAAUUCUUAAUCAACUCAAUAUUAAAAAAAAAAUCGACAGAGAAUUUUAGAAAAAAAAAAUAACAAAACAAACACCAAAAAAAGGAAAAAAAAAUCAUGUUGGAAACACUGUAGCAAUUCACAGUGUUUUGUGAUGAAAGUUACAGUGCUUCCCCACAUGAUUUAACCUUAUUUGUAAUGACUUGUAAUUGUAAUUCACAAACAACUCAAUAUUAAAAAAAUAAAAUUUAAAAAGAUAAUUUGAACAAAAUUAUAACAAAAAAAACCCAUGCGGAGAGACACUGUAGCAAUCAACAAUGUUUUAUGAGCAAAGCUACAAUACUUUCCCCACGUGAUUAAGCUUUAUUACAAAGUUAAAUUCUAACCAACUCAAUAUUAAAAAAAAUAAAAUCGACGAAGAUAAUUUUGAAAAAAAAUAUUACAAAAAAGAAAACACAAAAGAAACUGGAAAAAAACCAUGUGAGGAAAAGCUGUAUCAAUCCAUAGUGUUUUGUGAGGAAAAACUUGUAUUUACUUGUAAUUGCAAUUCUUAACCAGCUUAAUAUUUUAAAAAUAAAAUUGACAAAGACAAUUUUAGGGAAAAACAUAACAAAAACAGAAAAAAAUCAUGUGGGAAAAAACACUGUAGCAAUCAACAGUAAUUUUCGAGGAAAGUUACAGUACUUUCCUCACAUAUUGUAACUAUAAUUUUUAACCAGCUCAAUAUUAAAAAAUAAAAUAACAAAAGAUAAUUUCGUAGAAAACCAUAAAAAAAAACCACGCGGAGAAACACUGUAGCAAUCAACAAUGUUUUAAAGAAAAAAAAUUACAAAACUAAAUUUUCAAUCAGCUCCAUAUUAAAAAAAAUCGACAAAUAUAAUUUUGAAAAAUAAAAAAAUAAAAUAGAAAAACUAUGUGGAAAAACAUCACAGCAAUCCACAGUAGUUUAAAGAAAAAAAUUACAAAGCAAAAAUUUUAACCAGGUCAAUAUUUAAAAAGUAAAAUCAACAAAAAUAAUUUUAAAAAAAACAAAAGAAAAAAUAAAUGAAAAAAAAAUAGAAAAGUUGAAAAAAAAACAAAAAAAAAACAAAAAAAAAAGUUAGAAAAAAAAAAGAGAGGAAAGCACUGUGGAUUACAAAUCCACAGUGCUUUUGGGUGUGGGGGAACAGUGAUUCCCCCACACCAUUUAGAAUAUAUAUAUAUAUAAACACACACACACAUGACCUUCUUAUACCCUAUAACUAUUAGUUACCACUGUGUCACCCUUGAAGUCACAUAGCAUCACAAAGAAAGAAAGAAAUCAACCUGAAGAGUAUAGUUUAAUUGGUCAAGUCUUGAGUUUGCUCCCUAAAAGUCAUCAAUUCGAGUGCCAUAAAUUUCAGGGCCACUGAAAAUUUACAUGGUCGUUAACUUUAGGCAUCGGGGGAUUAAUCAAGGUACGUAUAGGCUGGCCCGGACACCCACAUUUACCAAAAAAAAAAAAAAAAAAAAGGAAGAAAGAAAUCUUAUGCCAAGAUGGCAAAGCAAUUGCAAUUAUGCCCACGUUUCAAAAGAGCAAUGCGUAACUUGUGUGGGUAAUCCAAAAGAAAUUACAUCCUUUAAUUUUCAUCACCAUUACUUGCUUGCUCGGGUGAUCUAGGAUCCAUAUUUUGUGCAUCUUCAGAUGAGAUGACCAGCCUAUAUAAGAUAAAUAUGCAACAAAAACCUGUGAAAACCAAGAUAAAGACCACUAUAGCGUGGCAAAUAACAUGUAUAUUGAUAUUCAAUAAUGGAACACACCAAAAACUAAUCCCACUUAGCGGUAUGCAUACAGCUUGAAACCAUGUCAGAACUUAAAACUUUCAGUCUAAUUUGGUCAAUUUGCACAGUGAAUGGACAGAAACUGAAAGAAGUUUCAAACAAAUUUUAAAAAGAUUCUAAGUUCUAAUCAUACAAGUAUCAAAGAGGAUUCCUGUUGUUGUAUCAAAGCCUCCCUUCCACAGUUAUGAACUCAACAGAAUAUAGGAGUUCAUACAAGUAUCAAAGAGGAUUCCUGUUGUUGUAUCAAAGCCUCCCUUCCACAGUUAUGAACUCAACAGAAUAUAGGAGUUCAGAACAAAAUCUUCAUCAAUUUCUGAGAGUAUCAUUUCUACACAAUAUUUAUGUACAGUACCUGUCUGUUUCGGUUGAAAUGCUUGAAGACACAACUGAAACCAAAGAUGCAUUAUCUUUGACCUCUCCACCUGGAAAUAUGCAAUUAAGCUUAAAUUUCUGUCCUCUCCAGACAAAGACUUUGUCAGAAACAUUAUCUAAACUGCCUUCUGACUAAUCAGGUGCAAGAAAAGAAAUUCCAAUGAAAACAGAUGUCAUCCUUAGCAUAAUCAUUGUCAUCCUUAGAGCAUCAAAUACGUAUUCCUAGUACAAAUAAGUUUGCCAGUUGAACUAAAUCCUACAAUAUAGGCUACAUGGAACCAGUUCGAUAAAUAAGCCUCCAGUGAUGGAGAUAUCAACAUUCCAUAAACAUAAAAAACACAAUGUAUAUUGACUAGCUAGCUGCGCGCAGAUCAAACUCCCAGGCAUUCUACAAAUUAGGAGAUGAGGGCAGACACCUUCUGUAUCAGAUCAGUGCCUUAAAUGUAAUAGAUGGGACUUGUACCAAUUGAAAGGUACUCAAAAAAGAAAUAAAACCAAGAUAAACGGGUUGAUCAGUGUGCCAGGCAAUGAAGGGAGGAAGGAGAAGAAAAUUAUAACUCAAUUCAACACUAGAAUGCAUAGAACAAAGUUUUUUUUUUUUACAUCACAAAGGACAAGCUUUUCUAAUGGUUGCCAAACUCUGUGAGGUCCACCCUUAAUGGGAGCAUCAAUGGACAAAUUGGAUUAAUUCAAACAUGUCACCGAGAUGUGUGUUCAUGUGUGUGUGUGUUUGUUUAUAGAUAGAUAGAUAGAUAUAGAGAGAGACAGAGAGAGAGAGAGAGAACCUGAUGUUCCUAAAAAUAUACAAAUCCUGUACAAAUGGAGAAGAAAGUCCAAACAAUCUUAAACAUUGGCACAAUGAGAAUUGCAUCAAACAGUGCCAGCCCUUCAUUCAACCUUGUCAUCUGCAUAAGCAGGAAGCAGCACAGGAUUAGAUGUUUGGCACAUUGUUAUCUCCACCAUGUUACAAAUAAGAAGAAACCAUUUGACUUGUAUUAUCUUACCCAAAAUCCAACUGUAUUAAGAAAUUAAAGAAGCAUGGAGUAAGUAAACCAGCUGUACAACUGAUAAUCACUAUACAUGGAUAAUCUUAACAGAUUGGAGAUGGAAGCAAAACACUUGCCAUAAUAAUAAAACACAAAUGCCCAAUUUUAGCAGUUCUCAGAAAGGCAAGGAAAUGUUAAGCAGAAGCAUACAGAGAUUUGGCAAACAAUACUGAGAAUGAUCCUACUGCACCCAAAACUACAACAUACGAGAAAGGAAGAAGCAUAUGCCAAUAUGGUCUAAGAUCUUGUCCUGAAAUGGCAAGCAUAAUUUCUCUUCUCUUGCAUAUUGUUGCUAAGGUCAAAUGUGAAAACAGUGAGAUUUUGACUUGAAGAUGCAUCCCCAAAACAAAUGAGAAAUGAUAGCCAAUCUCCAAACCUCACCUGUAAAUGUAAUGAUGCAAGGCAACAAGAAGUAUCAAUAUCAGACAGUAAAAGAGGAACGUCAUGUUACUGUAUUUCUCUGUCAACUGCUCUGUCGUGUAUACUGAUAAGAUUCAUAUGAAACUCAACCUAAAUGAUCCUUCAACACUUUCUACACUCUCUAACAAUUCCCCAUCAAAUUUUUUCACCCAAUACCAAACUCAACCUAAAUGAUCCAUUGUUUAUGGAUCUCAAAGGACAGAACUAUAAUAGCCCUUUCUGAGUUGUUAUAGCUAAUUAUGCAACUCACAAGCUUUCCCUACAGCUUGUUCUCAGUGCUAAAUACAAUUUCAAAAACUCAUGUCUCUUCCGAAUUUUAAAGAACUUUCAAAGGUGCCUGUUAUGUUAAGCUAGCAAACGUGAACAGUGGCUCAGAAAGUAAAAAAUAGGGCAAACAAGUGUAGCAAAGACAAAGACAGUCGAGUACCAGGAUACUAAUGAUUUCCAAAAGCAACUAGAAAUGUACAAUAAAGGCUGCGGCUACCAGGACUUUGAAAAAAACAAGGAAAAUAUCGAUCAAUUGGGAUCAACUUAAUAACACCAAUGUGAUGAGUGGAAUGUAAAAUAUAUACUUCUAUGAUUCUUAAAAUUUAUGUCACUUCUUAUUUCACAUACUCCACAGUGACUAUUUUGUUUAACUUUUUCAUAACACUGUUUCAAUCCACAUUACAACUCUAUGCGUUAAAUGACCUAUUAUAAAUUUUAUAGAUUGAAUUAAUCAUAAUCCUUUAGCAAUAUACUGCAAACAUCGAAUCUAAAUUUUAAGAGAUAAACAAAAGUCACCACGAACAAGUAAAGAUUGCUGAUAAUCUUUAGAGUCUCAUAGAAUAUCAAAUUGAGAUCUUAAUUUGUAUCACUAUUACUAUCAAUUUGAUUUUGUAUGAGACUCUAAAGAUUAUUAGCAAUCUUUACUUGUUCCCGAUGACUUUUGUAUUACUAUUAAUUAUACGCAUAUGUGGUAUACAACACACAUAAUGUUUAAAUUUGAGUUCAAUCAUUUACAAUAUCAUUUUGUUUUGUCUUAGAUUUUAUGUCUUUAUCAAUAAUACCUUAUAGAUGAUACUUCAAACAUACUUAAUGUUUAAAUUUGAGUUCAAUCAUCUACUCAUUCAUUUUUUACUUAUUAUAACCCACAUUUAGCGAUAAGACAAAUAAAGUCACAUUUUAAAUAAUUACUUUGGGGUGAAAGUUAUAACACAUAUUCCAUUGACCUUUUUAUAUACUUUUUUUAUUCAGAUGACAUAUCAUAUAUUAAUUUUGACGCUCCUGUCCCACUCAAAUAACAAGCUUAAAAUUAUCUUAUCCUUAUUCAUUAUAAUAUAAUAGAUUUGAUUGUCUAUGUGAGAAGGCCAAUCUUUUAUUUUUCCAAUAUAGUUCUUAUAAUUUGUUAUUUUUAACAUGCAUAUAAGUAUAACAUAUAACUUAUGUAAUUAGGCAUCAAUAACAUUAUUAUUAUUAUUAGAAAUGUUCAUGAACAUUAUUGGGAAAAAAAUAUUUUACAUUAAUACAUCAAUAUCUAUGUAAUCCUAGUGACUUAACAUGCCUAUUGAAAACAUCUAUUGAAAUAGGCUUUGUAAAUGGACCUGUAAUCAUUUUUUGCGUAAAUAUGUACUUCAUAUUCACUUAUUUAUGUGAAACCAUAUCCUUAACAUAAUUAUACUUGAUAUCUAUAUGUUUGGUUUGUUCACGGUACUUAGGGUCUUUUAUAUAUGUUAUUACAACUUGACAAUCAUAAUUCACUUAUACUAGGUUAAUAGCACUAUUAGACACCCCUAAAAUGAACUAGAAAAAGUCUCAACCAAAUAACCUCUUGUACUACAAUUGAAAGUGCCACAAAUUUAGCUUUCAUCGUAGAUAAGACUAUACAAUAUUAUUUCUUACUACUCCAUAAUAUGGUGUCAUUAUUCAAGAAGAAGAAAAAACUAGAGGUGUAAAACCCCCAACCUAAAAAUUGGUAAAUUAGUGUUAAAUAGUGUAAUUUUAAUUGAAAAAUAAUAAAUUAUGAGAAAAAAUUGAUGCGAACACCUCCCAAGAUACACUAAAAUCAUAUUUGAAUGGUUUGCAACUUGACCCAACACGAACCUGCCUUGAAAACUAAAGUAAUACACAAUGAUCACUCUCAUCCUAUGUCUAUAAAGAGAUGCGAACAAGUAGUAUAAAAUCAUAACAAAGUUUAUCAAUCCUUUAAAGAUUUUGUAAGUUCAAUCAAGAACUUAGUAUUGGAAUUACUUAACCACACAAAAAGAUAGCAAAAAUGAUAUGGUUCAGGUUUAGCCUUGGAUUCCUUAUAGUAAGCAUUUGAUUAUGUGUUUGAGAUUCGUUGUUAAUAUGGUUUAGAUUUGGGUUUUCAUGAUGGGUUUUUUCCUAGAGAUGCAUUCGGUCAGAUUGAGGUUUUUAUGGAUGAUGGGUUCGACCCGAUUCUUUUGGUGGGUAAUUCUAUCAGAUUAGGACAUGCUAUGCAUGAGAUGUUUUUUGGGCAUCAAAUAAAGUUUAUUUAGAGUGUAUUUUGGGUCUGGUUUGGUCCAUAUUAAUGAAUAUGAGUUUAGGCUACAUGAGUCCAAAGUUGGCUUGGUCUAAUUAAGAUGCUGAGAUUAGAUUAGAUUUGUUUAGGGCUGAUUUCCUAAUUCUACAAGGACUUAAAUCAACAAAAUAUUCUUCUAAAAGUCAAGAAAAUUUCAUUUAUUUAGGAGAAUAUUUAACAACAAAGAAGAAAGUUUUCUAGUCAACAAAGGAUGUUAGGGGGCUGCUAAGCUAGAAAGGGUUAAUUAAUGAUUCUUCUAGUGUAAGAAGGAAACUAAAUUAACAAGUAUAAAAGAAAUAGAUUUUCUUCAUUAAUUGUCCAUGUAAAACAAAGAAACCAAGCAUAAUAAGGCAAUAAGACUUCAGAAUUAAUUAUACAUUCAGAUCACGUUUCCUAGUCUAUUUGAGACUUUUUAGGGGUGACAAAUUUGAUUCUGGCAUAUCUAGGAUAUUAAUUUUGGAUUUUUAUUAUUUUUAGUCACACAAUCCCAAAUAAAUCUGAUCUGAUUCCAACAUCUUAAUUAACUCAAGCCAAACUUAUAAUCAUAUGCAUCAUAUCUUUAAUUUCUAAAUAAUGUUGCAAUUUAAUCAUAUUAGCAAUAUCUCUACUUAAACCAUUUAAAAAUCUAGUCAUUGUAGCUUUCUUAUAUUAAAAAACAUUAGCUCUAAUCAUAGCUAUGUUUUAUCUCCUUAAAAUACACAUCAACACUUUAGAACCCUGAGAUAAAGAUUGCAAUCUAUUAUAGACUUCCCUAUAGUAAUGAUUAGGGACAAACCUUUUCCUCAUGAUUGCUUUCAUCUCCUCGCAUGUGUCAAUGAGUCUUUCUUCAUUACACCUUCUACUUGUAACAAAUUGAUCCCACCAAAUAAUAGCAUAAUCAAUGAAUUCAACUACAACUAUCUAGUUUUACCUUGUAUUCGUAUGAAUAUCAAUGGCAAUCAAAUACAAAUUCUACCUUCUUUUCCUAAUCUAAAUAAGUAUCUGGAUCAUUCUUUCCCUGAUAUACUAGAAUUUUAAAUUUUAUGCUACCCAAAUUACAAUCUAAAUCAUUAAAAUCCCUCCCUUGGCUAAAAUUUGGUUAAAAUCUAUCACCAAACUCUCUCCUUCACCAUGUCUAAUGUAAAGGAUUUUGAUGUGUAUGAGAAUUUCUUCCAUGAUUAAUUACAUCAUCCUCCUCCUCCUUAUCAAAGUUUUUAGUUACACUAUCAUUUAGAGGGGAGAGUGCUCGUCUAGUAGACCUUUUUAACAUCUUUUUCUUUACGACUAUAAACAUCAUGUCUAUAAAUCAUAUAAGUACUUAAUUUAUCCAUCUUUCCCAUCAAAACCUCUAUCAUUACCUCCAACCUAUCUUGUUUCUCUAUAAGAUCCUUUGUCUUCGAUUAUGUCACACCUUUUGAGAUUGUGAAUACCUGCAAUAAAGGUUAGUAGCAAAGAUGAAUUUCCUUACAGACAUUCUAUUUAAUGUCACUCCACUCGUGUUUCACACAACUCAAUCGAGAUUUUCACUUUAAUAAUCUCAUUAUACCCUUUUACCUUACUAUUCCCUUAGGUUCUUAAAGGUAACUUAACAACUUAUCAAAUAAUCAAUCAAAACAAUAUAAUGAUUUUAUAAUAAUGAAGACUCAAGAAUCAAGAAAUAUACGUAACUAAUCGAAAAUAAAACAUAAGGAUAAAUUUACGAAUAACAAUGUAAAUUAAUGCGAAAUAUAAUGAGAGUUUAUGUUAAAUAUUCAAACAAAACUAACUAAUUCAAGAAGUCAAGAUUCAACUUCAAGAAUUUCAAGAAAACAAUUAAAAUAAAGCAAGAAAGAUCUAUUCUAACUAAUUUGUAAUGAAAUAAGACAAGAAAAUCCAAGAAAAACAAGAAUUUAAUUCGGCAAUUCCAAGAUUUGGUAUGUACCUAUUCGGCAAAAUCAAGAAAAUACUCAAGAAACUUUUGGCCAACCCUAAAAUUCAAAAGCUUGUAUUCGAUUAUGCCGUAACUUGUCAAUUCAAUGAAUUCUUGCCAUUUUCCUUCAACUUUUUCUUUUUUUUAUCCACACAAUUUGGAAAGAACAAGAUUUCUUUUCCUUUUUUUUUUACUCUAGGCCAAAUAAAAAAGAACAAAAGUUAUACACUAAAAUCAUAAUUUUUCUUUGACGUGUUCAACAAAAUCAAGAAUCUAAGCAAGGUGAUUUUUUUUAAUACAGGGGUUGGCCAAACUUUGAAAUAAUAAGAGAGAAAAAUAUUUUUUUUAAAAGAAACAAGACCUUAACUGAACUAGAAAGGGAAAAAAAAAGCAAGAAAGAACACAAACUAAAUAUUAAAGGGAUAUAACUUGAUAAUAGCACAAGCUAUGAUAUCAAUUGAUGUGAACACCUCCCAAGAUACACUAAAAUCAUAUUUGAAUGGUUUGCAACUUGACCCAAUAAGAACAUGCCUUGGAGAACAAAGUUAUAUACAAUGAUCACUCCCAUCCUAUUCAUAUAAAGAGACGUGGACGAGUAAUAUAAAAUCAUAAUAAAGUUAAUCAAUCCUUUAAAGAGUUUAUAAGUUCAAUCAAGAACAUAUUAUGAGAACCACUCAACCACAUAAAAGAUAGCAAGAAUGCCUAUUUAUUUAUUAAAAUUAGUCUUUUUUAAAAAAAAAGUCUCUGCAAAAAAGUAUUUAUAUUAGAAAGAAUCUUAAACCUAAUGGAAUAUCCUUAAUGAAUAUGGAUAAACCUAAUAAAUAAUAAUAAAAGCUACGAAUGUUUACUUUCCAAUUCAACUAAAAGCAUAUUAACAUUCCUUUUGUAACUCCAUUUAUGACCAAAAUAGUAGUGAAAGGUCAAAAUUGACAGUUUUGAAUCUUUUUAUUCCAAUCUUUUUGUAAUGUCUGAAUGCCCAGCUAUAAGCCCUUCUUAAACAUGAAUUAAAAUAAUCAAGACUUGUAUUUCAUUAUUUAAGAUCUUCUUGAAGCUCACCUUAGCCCAUGUAUCUUAUAUAAGUUAAUUGAAAACAUCUUCGAAUCUUUUAGCCAUAAGUCUUGUCACUAGACCAACUAGAACUUCUAAUGAAUCUCUUUGUGUUAUUUAGAUUGCAUAACAAAUUAUUGUGAUUUGGGAUGAACAUAUCCAUUAAAUUAACUUAAAUUUAAGAUGAAAUAAAGUAAUAAAAUCAGUACAUGAAAUGAUAACUGGUGAUAAAUCGCGUAAACAUCCUGAUAAGAUAAAAUAAUUAUUUUAAAUGAAUAAUUUUUAUAAAUUUAGGGUGAGAAUAUUUAUAAAAAUAAAAGGUAAUGCUAAAUAAAUUAACGUUUUAUUUUACAUGUAAAUAUCGCUAACUGACAAUCACAUAGUUUUUAACCAAAAAGAAAGGAAAUCUGAGUGAAACAUUUUUAUUAUGAUAAGGGAUGAAAUUAUUCAAUGAAUUAGUUUGAGAAUAUUGAUGAUUUAAGUAAAUGAAACAAUAUGGAAAUUCAGUUUUUCGCGUAAAAAAUACCUAUUGUCCAAAUUUACAAUAUCAAGCAUAACUCUCAAUCUGAUUAUUGAAUCAAACUAAAAUUUUACAAGGUAUCUUCUCACAUAUUGUUCUAUAUUGGGUUAAAAGUUUAGGGCAAUUUGAGUGCGGGAAGGCCUUGAGAGAGUGCAGAUGGUCGGAAACAAAAUACAAAAAAUAACAUAUAAACUCAUUAAUGACAUUGUCAUAAUUUUAGCAAAACAAUUCCCCCUAGCACUAUUCAUGUCGAUAGCCCUUACAAGAGAAGAGAAGAGAAAGAACUGGAUGUUGAUAUUUUUUACAUAAGGGGAAGAAGAAUAAGAAGAAGAAGAAGAAAGGAGGCCUGUUUGUUGUGAAAUGAGGGAUUCCAUACUUUUUAUUUGGGGGUUUUACUAAUGGAUAAUUAAAUAUAAAUAUUUUUAAUCAUUCCGUCGGUGAUAUUUAAUUUAAAUUUUUAAUUUAAUAAAAAAUUUUCAGAAAUCGUCAAAUAUCACCGACGACUUUUCAAUUCGUCGGUGAUUCCGUUUGUAAUAUUUAAUAUAAAAUUUUAAUUUAAUCAAAAUUUUCAAAAACCCGCCAAAUAACACCGAUGACUUUUCAAUUCAUCGAUGAUUUUGUCUGUAAAGAACAGUAAUUAACAAUGCAAUUGGGAAGUAAACAGUUCUAGAGUUCGGUAGAAAACACUAAUGGAAUUUUUUGUUGGUGAUUUUCUUUGUAAUUGACAUGAUGAACAGUGUCAGAGAGAAUUUAAUAGUUUACCAAUAGUUUUACUGAUGAAAUUAAUUUCGUUAAUAUAAAUGAUACGUCAUCAUAUUUUUUGGCUUUGUUUUAAUUAUUAUUUUUCCUACUAUAAUUCCCUCGGUAUAUACCGAGAGAAUAUUUUCGUCGGUAAAAUUCAUUGUAAUUUACAGACGAAAAUAUUUCAUUAGUAUUUCCAUUUGUAUUUAUUAAUUUUCUAGUAGUGUGUAAAGUCACACUUACAUAGCGGGAGGUUGGACAAUUUCUCUGGCGGUUUACUAUUCCAAUGCUUCACUCUUUCUUUCUAUCCUUGUAAGCCCUUCUCCUUUCAAAACUCCCAUCUUUAAAACCCUCUCCUUUUAGAGAAAUCAUUAAGUAGACAUGAUGAUUGCACCUGGAUAAGAAAUUUCCAUGUAUAUAUACACACACUUUCGGUUUUUUAAACUGAUUACAACUUCCAUGCACAUCAAGGUGACAAUUCAUGUGUUUCUAGUGUAUGAGACCGUAACUGAUACCAAACGUUUAUGAAGGACUUCACUACAUUUUCUAUUGAGUGAUGAAGUUACUGAAUUAGCCUCUGAAGUCACAACAAGAUGGUCAUUGCUAGGUUUCGAAGUAGUUUUUAUUCCUUCUUCCACAAAAUCAAAGAUGCAAAUUAUACAUUUAACUAGCUUUAAGAUGUAUGGUUAAAGUUACAGUGAACAUAUGGGGAGUUAAAAGAGUUUGAUAGAUUGUUUAAUAUGGCUGUAAAAUCUCCUUAACGAUGUGAGGAGAAGCCUUGGCAUUAUAUACUAACAUUAUAGCUAAAGAAUCCUAUAUAAUAGGAUUGGAUAAGUACAAAUUAACAAGUUGAUAGUUACAAGGAAUUCUAUGUUAAUUAGAAUGGAGAUAUCUUAGGGAUAACUCUUAUCACCCCCUGUAAGGUAAGCGUGGGAGAAGGGAGGACGCGAAGCUUGCUUCGAAAAAGAAAGAACUGUGGUUUAGACACACCUCUAGUAAGGGAGUUAGCAAGCUGCAAGGAAGAGGGAACAAAUUGUAACUUCAAGAAGCCAUUAGCAACAAGCUCGCAUACAAAGUGGUAGUCAAUGACAAUAUGUUUAGAUCGUGGUCGAGUAACAGGAUUAACAGCCAUGAAAAUAUCACUUUGAUUGUCACAACAUAGAGUAGGUGAAGUUGAUAGUGUAACAUGAAGGUCUCUAAGUAAUUGAACAAGCCAAGCAAUGUUAGCGGUGGCGACCGCUAAGGAGCGAUAUUCAGCUUCUACACUCGAUCACGAGAUAAUACUUUGUUUCUUAGAGGACCAUGAAAUUAAAUUGGAACCAAGAAAGAUUGCAUAACCAGUGGUAGAUUGACAUGUGUUAGGACGACCAGCCCAGUCAGUAUCAGAAUAAGCAAGAAGUUCAUAAGUGGACUGUUGUUACAGCUGAAGACCAUAAUGAACUCUACCUUUAAUGUAUCGUAAAAUACGUUUAAGUGCAUGAAAAUGAUCCUCUGUUGGAGCAUGCAUAAAUUGGCAAAUAAAAUUAACACUAAAUGACAAAUCAGGCCUUGUGAUUGUCAGGUAUUAUAGCGCAUCAGCUAAUGAACAAAACAAAGUAGGAUUAGUAUAUAAAGGCCCUUCAGCUGUCAAAUGUUGUCCCACAACAAAGGGUGUAGAGAUUGGCUUAGCAUCAACCAUGGAAGCUUGCUGCAAGAGAUCGAGGGCAAACUUUGUUUGACUAAGGAAUAGACCUUGAUCAUUAGGCUAAACUUUAACACCAAGAAAAUAAUGAAGAACACCUAAGUUUUUCAGUGAGAACUCCUUGGAAAGUAAAGCAAUAAAUUGAUGAAUUAAAGAUGUGCUACUGCCAGGAUAGAUAGACUGUCCCUAGAGCAGAAUGAUGGACAAACAACGAUGAAUCAACUUUGGUGCUUGUUUCAAGCCAUACAAUGCUCGUUUAAGGCAACAUACAUGUUGAGGAAAUAAAGGAUCAAUAUAGCCUAGAGGUUGUUCCAUGUGGACUUCAUCAUGAAGGAGGCCAUGGAGAAAGGCAUUAUUGACAUCAAGCUGAUGUAAGUGCUAAUGAGAGAAUCAGACAAACAGUAAUUGGGCGAACAACAUGACUAAAUGUGUCAUCAAAAUCAAGACCCUAAAUCUGAGAGAACCCUUGAGCCACAAGGCAUGUUUUAUGACAUUUAAUGGACCCAUCAGAUCGAAGUUUGAUCUUAAAAUUCAUCGGCAACCAACCAUAUUAUAAGAUGUAGAACGAGGGACCAGAGUCCAAGUGUUAUUCUUCUGCAAGGCUUGAAUUUCAGAGUUCAUUGCGGACAACCAUUCAGGGUGUUUGACAGCUGAUUUAAAACCCUGUGGCUCUUUAAAAGCAAGAAGAGCCUGAAGAGGUUGUGAAGAAGAGAAAACAGUUAUAACAUAUUAUGUCCAUGGUUUAAAAACACCAGUCUUCCCUCUAGUAACCAUGGGAUGUCUGUUAGUGAGCAGAGAAGGUUGGGAAGACUCGAGAGAUGUUGAGGCUACAAUGGAAGAGGAGGGAACAGACAGAGAUGAUUAUUGAGUGAAGGAGUCUGCAUAUAUAGGAAGUAUUUGGGCUGGACUGUCACUACAGGGUAAACAUAGAGAACUGGACAAUUAUGGUGAGAUGACAGAGUCAGAAGGAACGGAAACAGAAGGAUUAGACACACAUUCUGCACAUUCAGAGAAAAUAUUAUAAUCAUUGGUGGACGACAUGUUAAGGACUGAACCAUCAAUAUAAGGAAAAACAAUUUCAAAAAAUUUUACGUGACGAGAAACAUAGACACGACGUGUCUGUCGAUCAAAACAUCGAAAUCCUUUAUGAAGAGUACUGUAACCUAAAAAGACACAUGGAGCGGAUUUUGGAAAUAAUUUAUGUGGUGAAUCGCGUAAAUAAGGAAAACAAAGACACAUAAAGGUAUGAAGCAUGGAAUAAUCAGGUUUCUGACCAAAUAAUAGAACAUAAGGAGUCUUACCACUAAGAGACGGUGAAGGGAGUCGGUUUAUGAGAAAUACUGCAAUGAAGAAUGCCUCAACCCAAAAGAAUAUUGGCAUCACCAAUUUCUUUUGUUAAUGGUUAUCGCUACUACGUUGUUUUUAUCGAUGACUGUACUCGAUUUAGUUGGAUGUUUACUUUGAAACAUAAAUUUGUUUUUUUAUAUAUACAUUCAUCAAUUUCCAAAAUACAUUACAACGCAAUUUUCAGCAAAAAUAAAAUCAUUUCAAUGUGAUGGUGGGACUGAAUUUACAAAUACUAAAUUUUGAAAUCAUUUACAAUCUCAUAAUAUUGUUCUUCGUCUAGCAUAUGCAUACACUCCUAGUUAAAAUGGCAUUGCCGAACGCAAACAUCAUCAUGUUAUGGAAACAAGUCUUACUCUUAUGUUAUCACAAUGUAAAGGAUCAAAAUGAAUGUCACAACGUUUAUCAUUAAAAGAAAAGGGUAAACGAUGGCUUUUACCAAGCUGACAACCAUUGCAAAGAGAAUAAUCUAUUUGUAUCAAUUUAUCACUACAAGAAAUAGAUCAUAUUCUAGAGAGAGAGGCAACAAGAUGAAAAUGUGGAUGACAUAGUCGUGCAUGUCAUAAACGAACUGUGGCUCGUGGCUUAUUGGAAGAGACAAUUGAAGCAAGAGCACAAUGAUGCUUAUCAAGAACAUAUAGACCAUUCUCAUAUCGACCGACUCCCAGUACCGUUAUGGUAGCUUGAUCCUGUAUAGCAAAGCUAAAAGAAUCAAAGAUAACCCGACAAUUAAGUUGUUUUGUGACUUGACUAAUAAAAAUAAGGUUUUUCAUAAUGUCAGAAACAACAAGAAUAUUAGAUAAAACAAGGGAGCUUUAGGGAACAAUAUUAGAAACAGAACCUUUGUGAGAAAUAGAAAGAGAUUGUCCAUUACCAAUCAGGACACGUUCAUUGCUAGUGUAUAUAAUGGACACAUCUAAAUUGUCUAAGUUGUUUGUUAUGUGUGAGGUGGCACCAGAAUCAAGAAACCACUCAGGAUUAUUGAAGUCUUGGACAGUGCAUGCAGAAAAGGUUUCAGCUAUGUUAGCGGACUGUUUCUUUUUAAGUUUCAAGAAACUCCAGCAACGUUUGGCCAAGUGGCCCUUUUUGUCACACAAUUGACAAUAAACAGUAGUGUUGGAUGGUGUUUUAACAUUGUCAGAGUAUGCAGAAGUCGUGGAGAACCGUGACUUUCCUCUCUUUGGUUUUGACUUACGUUAUGUCUAUUGUGUAUAAUAAACAAAAGUGGAUGGCGAUUGGGAAACAAACUUGGCAAAUAUCUCAUGACUCAAAGCUUUUGGAACAAUCUUUGAGAAUGAGGGUAAUGGAAGUUAUGAGAUCAUUGUGGUGGAGAAAAUCUUGUAGUCUAGUCCUAAUGCUCAUAAAUACUAAUGGACUUUAUUUGUGUCAUCAACAGGAUGACUAAUAGCAACCAGUUGAUCACAAAGUCCCUUGAAAACUCGGGAGAACUCAACAAUGGAUUGAGAUCCUCGUUGCAUUAGUUGGAGUUCAUCCUUGAGAUGCAAUUCACGAGUAUUUGAUCAGUGUGAGAAGGAAACUUCAAGAACUUGCCAAGCCUCAAGUGAGUGUCAUAAACCCAGUACCUCACUCAUGGAUUCCUUUGUAAGAGAAGAAAACAACAAACUCAGAAGCAUUUGGCCUAUAUGCAGCCAAGAAUUGUGCUCAGGAUUUGGCUUUGUGACUCCACUAGAAUAAGUAAUCACAACACAUGGAGCAACGAUGCUCCCAUCCAACAAACCGAAGAGUUAUGGACUAGUUAACAAGGGAAUAACCUGAUUUCUCCACAACAGAUAAUUGAAAGAGGUCAGUUUAAUGGUGAGCAUGUACACCAUUGUGUUGAGCAAAAGAGUAGGGCAUGAAGAAGAUGAAUCUGCCAUGAUUACAAUCUCCAUCCGGGCUUUGAUACCAUAAAAGAGUUUGACAAAUUGUUUAACAAGCCCUGGCAUUAUAUACUAACAUUACAGCUAAAGAAUCGUAUAUAAUAGGAUUCGAUUCGAUAAGUACAAGUAAACAAACUAGUUACAAGGAAUUCUAUGUUAAUUAGAAUGUAGAUAUCUUAGGGAUAACUCUUAUAGGAGUAAUAGCAUCAAUAAUUACACAGCCACCGGGGAGGAUACUGAGGAAGGGACCCGAUUCUCAGCUGGAAUCUCAACAAAUUCAGAGAGGAUUGCUCGGAACUCAUCACCAGUCAUAGUUUCCUUCUCGAGGAGGACUUCCACAAUCUUAUCAAUGGCCUCACGGUUGUACCUUAUGUGGCUCAAUGCAAUUUCAUAUGCACUGUCUGAUAUCCUCUUCACGGCAGAAUCAAUGUCUUCCGCUAGCUUUUCUGACAUUGAGUUCCUUGCCAUCAUUCUCAUGAUGACGUCACCACUUUGAGCUGAUGCGUCCAUGAGUGACCAUGGGCCAAUUUCAGACAUUCCAAACGUGGUUACCAUCUGUAACAGGCCAGAUUAAUCAUACUCCUCAUUUCAAUUAAAUUGCUCCGAUAAAAUAUACAAAAGGAAGUGUAGAACCACAUACAAAAAACGAAAGAUAGAGAUACCACACGCAUCACUCAAGGAGCAAGGAAAAGACAGCAAAUGUCACUUCAAAUGUUUAGUUACCUGUUUAGCCAAACCGGUGACCUGCUGCAAAUCACCAGCUGCCCCAGUAGUCACCUCCGACUCACCAAAGAUCACUUCUUCAGCAGCUCUGCCACCUAAGCCACCAACUAUUCUUGCAAAAAGUUGCUGCUUGGAGAUCAAUGUGGGAUCAUCUGCAGGAAUAAACCAGGUGAGACCCCGUGCCUGGCCUCGCGGAACGAGGGUGACUUUCUGAACUGCAUCAUGCCCUGGAGUCAAAGUUCUGAAUAGAACAGUAAGGAGCGUUAUGCUCUUUUCCAACAAAGUAUCUCCACGAGAACAAGUGAUGAUAACCUAGGUAGAGAGAUAAUUUCGGACUCACAAACAUACAGGUGAAGGGACAAUCAGGUGUCUUCAUUAAAGCGACAAUACAGACAAGUUUUUAGUGAUGCAUUUCAUCACUGCCAAGUAAACUAGGAAUGCAUGCAAGAUAGAGAUGGAGCAUCUGAAGUCACCAAUAACAGGGCCACUAUUUCUCUAAUUCCGCUUCUCAACAUGAGAUAACCAUCAAAUUGAGUUCCUAGCAUUACUACUCAGUUCUAUUCAGAUUUACUCAAUGACAUAUUUUAUAAAAUAAGUUAGAAAUUUAAUGAGUUGAAUUUCCAUGAGACAGAAACGGGCUAUUAUCUCACUUACCCGCAAAUGGCAUGGCCAACUUCAUGGUAUGCAACAAGACUUUUACUCUUUCCAUCUGUCAUAACGGUUCCUUCCAUUCCAGCGACAAUCCUAUCAAUUGAAUCAUCAAUCUCUUUAGAUGAAAUUGCUGUCUUUCCACGCCGCCCAGCUAGGAUAGCUGCCUCAUUCAAGAGGUUUGCAAGAUCAGCCCCACUGAAACCAGGUGUUCUCAUGGCUACCACAUCAAGAGACACAUCAGCAUCAAAUUUCUUGUUGCUAGCAUGAACUUUCAGUAUCUCUGUUCUUCCCCGUACAUCCGGGACAUCAACAGUCACCUGCAUUAAAGCUUCAUAAUGAGGACUGCCCCGAAGAACAAUAUGAAACCAAUACGAACAUGAUAACAUAUUCUUACCUGUCUAUCAAACCGUCCUGGCCUCAACAAGGCAGAGUCAAGAAUGUCUGCCCUGUUAGUUGCUGCAACGACAAUGAUGCCAGUAUUACCCUCAAAACCAUCCAUUUCUGUCAGAAGCUGGUUAAGGGUCUGCUCUCUUUCAUCAUUUCCUCCGCCAAUUCCAGUUCCUCUUUGCCUUCCCACGGCAUCAAUUUCAUCCACAAACACAAUGCAAGGAGCAUUCUCU
Molecule: long non-coding RNA, 20235 nt
Filed under: Populus trichocarpa (black cottonwood)
Lineage: Eukaryota; Viridiplantae; Streptophyta; Magnoliopsida; Malpighiales; Salicaceae
Description: long non-coding RNA (PTRI_LNC000739)
Source: RNAcentral